UGAGUAGUAUUAUCACCAGUAAAAUGCUCACUACAACUAUCCAAAUGAUAGCCUUCCAAAAUGAUAUGCACUUCACUUUGAAAGAUACAAUGGUGUCGUAUUAUGUGCUCUCUUACUUGAGAAUGCAUCAGAUGUAUAGUUGUAAAAGAUAAAUAAUAUUUGCGAGUAUCCGAGUAGUCUAGUGGAUUUCAACCAUCUAAAUACAAAAGAUUGCAAAAAAAUGCCAUAAAUCCACACUGAUGUCCCUUGACUGUCGCCUAGAAGUUGAUGACAAAUUGUAAUUUGUAAUUUUUCCUUCUCUAACUGUUAAUUUUCAUUCAACUUUGUGUUCAGCUCCGCCUUUAAGUCCUUGACUUACCGCAUCAAAAUUCACCUUA
This 377-nucleotide long non-coding RNA is filed under the name Physcomitrium patens. RNAcentral's name for it is "long non-coding RNA (PPAT_LNC001566)". The record is from RNAcentral. Lineage: Eukaryota; Viridiplantae; Streptophyta; Bryopsida; Funariales; Funariaceae.